This 67-nucleotide transfer RNA is filed under the name Jordanita hector. RNAcentral describes it as "transfer RNA-Val (GUN)". Lineage: Eukaryota; Metazoa; Arthropoda; Insecta; Lepidoptera; Zygaenidae. The record is from RNAcentral.
CAAAUUAGAGCUUGUGAAGUAUUUCAUUUACAUUGAAAAGAAAUUGAUAUUUAAUUAAUUAAUUUGA